This 102-nucleotide microRNA precursor is filed under the name Marmota monax (woodchuck). Lineage: Eukaryota; Metazoa; Chordata; Mammalia; Rodentia; Sciuridae. The record is from RNAcentral.
UAAGUUUGCCAACUGUCCUGGUUUUCCUGAGACUGAGAACUUUUAGUGCUAAUACUAGGUCAGCUAUGGGCAAACCAGGCUGGUUGGUCACCCAGCCCAAAA